GCUCCUCUGCCCCCUCCGGGAGAAGGGGCUCUUCUCUAGAUGAGACCCUGGCCUCGACCCAGGCGGCCUCCCAGGCUCCGUCCUUAAGAGUCCGCUUCAAAGCUAGAACCUUUCUCCUGGGAUCAUCUUCCAUUCACAUGAUAUGGACCUUGCAUGCACUUUUUCUGCAGGCACUCUCUCGAAUCUCUGCCCCUGCCCUUCCCUCCCAGGGCCAGACCGCGUCCCCCUUCUCCGGCCCCCACCUGGUUCUGGGCCUCUUCAGCUCUCCCCUGGAGAGCUUUCCCUGCCUCACACCCGUCUCAGGAUCAGGCAUUCUCAGAGUUAGAAGCCACCCGCCACAUCGUCCGGGCCAAGCCUUUGCUUGAAGCCCUUCAGUGAUGCUGCUAAGCCUCCCGCUGGCUCCCAGGCAGUCCGCCCUCCUGGAGACAUUGCCACGUGAGUCAUUUGAUUGGCAGAUCAGAGAGGAUGAUGGGGACAAGGAUUUUGGCUGGCUUUCAGCAGAUCAUCAGACAGAAUCUCUCAUAAUAUUUUUUCAAUGAAGAUGGGGAGAGAUGGGCUAGAUGAUAGCACAGUGAUAUGGAUUCGGAAUGAGGAAACAACCAGAUUUGAACCUGCUGCCUUCAACAGUGCUCUGCCCAUUUCCAAACCCAGUUGUCUGAGCUCUGGGCACCUUCCACCUGAACCUAGAACUCUACUCUGGAAUACCCUGAGCCCUGACAGGUGAGCUUUUGCCUCAAUCUACCUGGAACUUGGCCUCUGCAUCACUUCUGAGCCACCAUUUCCAAAUCGUGACUCCCCACUCCCUCUUGCUAGCUUCCUUUUUAUGUAUUGUCUUCCCUCCAUUAGAAUGAAAGCUUUUUGAGGGUAGGAACUGUCUUGUCACUUGUAUGUUAUUCCCAGCCUGUAACAUAGCAUCUGAAGCAAA
This is a non-coding RNA of Phascolarctos cinereus (koala), 925 nucleotides long. The record is from RefSeq and is a predicted model, not a curated record. Lineage: Eukaryota; Metazoa; Chordata; Mammalia; Diprotodontia; Phascolarctidae.